GUCGUAACCGCCAGAGUGAGCGACAUAUACUGAACAUGCAACAAUACAGAGGAGAGUGGCAUGACCUUUGCGCAAGCAUGACACGCGAAUUUGUGAAGCGUUUCAUGUCUUC
This 112-nucleotide small nuclear RNA is filed under the name Octopus bimaculoides (California two-spot octopus). The record is from RNAcentral. Lineage: Eukaryota; Metazoa; Mollusca; Cephalopoda; Octopoda; Octopodidae.